AUAAGCACACAUGGACUGUUUUAUUUAAUUUUGCAUAUGGUUUUGAGUACCGCAAUAAGACGCACUAUUUGGAUAGUGUUUUUUUGGACUUUCACUGAGGUCACCAGUGUGUGUGCUAUAUUAGCACAGUGAUUGCAUAUGGUCAAAUCGAGAUAUUUUUUGUUAUAAUUGUUUAGACAUUAGAGUGUAUCAUAUACACAUUUCCCACAUAUACCAUUUGGGAUCACGUUAUAUAAAUCUUCCC
Molecule: long non-coding RNA, 244 nt
Organism: Rana temporaria (common frog)
Lineage: Eukaryota; Metazoa; Chordata; Amphibia; Anura; Ranidae
Exons: 3
Source: RefSeq, a predicted model, not a curated record